GAUGAACGCUGGCGGCGUGCCUAAUACAUGCAAGUCGAGCGAACGGACGAGAAGCUUGCUCCUCUGACGUUAGCGGCGGACGGGUGAGUAACACGUGGAUAACCUACCUAUAAGACUGGGAUAACUUCGGGAAACCGGAGCUAAUACCGGAUAAUAUUUUGAACCGCAUGGUUCAAUAGUGAAAGACGGUUUUGCUGUCACUUAUAGAUGGAUCCGCGCUGCAUUAGCUAGUUGGUAAGGUAACGGCUUACCAAGGCAACGAUGCGUAGCCGACCUGAGAGGGUGAUCGGCCACACUGGAACUGAGACACGGGCCAGACUCCUACGGGAGGCAGCAGUAGGGGAUCUUCCGCAAUGGGGGAAAGCCUGACGGAGCAACGCCGCGUGAGGGAUGAAGGUCUUCGGAUCGUAAAACUCUGUUAUUAGGGAAGAACAAAUGUGUAAGUAACUAUGCACGUCUUGACGGUACCUAAUUAGAAAGCCACGGCUAACUACGUG
RNAcentral lists this ribosomal RNA (497 nucleotides) under uncultured bacterium. RNAcentral describes it as "partial 16S ribosomal RNA". It matches the Rfam family "Bacterial small subunit ribosomal RNA", at positions 28 to 507 of the family's 1533-position model. The record is from RNAcentral.